CACACAACCACGCACCGACGCACUCACGCACACCACACACCACACACCACACCCAUCCACAGCCGGCGUGGGUGGCGACCGACGAGCAUGGCGGCCAUGCAGCCAUGCGGCAAGCAGGGCUUGCACGCGGGCUGCGACCCUGGCGGACGCUCGGGCGGUUAGCAUGGUGGCUGCGCGAGCAGCGCGGAAGCGCGGGCGGCAAGCAUGGUGGCCGGCAAGCACGGCGCGCGGCGGCUGCUCCCUCCACCGUCGACUACUCAGCGCGGGCGCACGGCGGCUCUCCCCUCAGGCAUCGGCUAUCCGACGCAGCCCGUCAAUGGCCCGGCGACGGCCACUGCGGAGGAGCUCCUCCCUUCGGCGUCAGCCUCCCGACGCUGCACUGGCGCGCGGCGGUGCCUUUCUCUUUCUCCGGGAACCAGCGAGCACGGCCGAGCGGCGAUGCGGAGACAAGGGCCGGGCGAGCGGCGCGGGGGAGCGCGACUGUCUGGUGGCGUGAGGAGUAGGGUCGAGGUAGCGGCACGGCGAGCAGGGCAGGCUGGCGGAAGUGGAGUCCUGUUGUUUUGUCUCCGGUGAGAAGGACUGCCGGCGGUGUAGUAGCUGUUGCGGCGGUGGAGAAGGACUUGAUGGCUUUUCAGUUUUCCUUUCUAGGGUCCUUUGUGUAAAUUUUUAGAACAACUCUGUAAUUUUUAUAUAACUCGAGAACGUAAGGCAGCAAACUUUCA
RNAcentral lists this ribosomal RNA (722 nucleotides) under Triticum aestivum (bread wheat). Its description in RNAcentral is "partial small subunit ribosomal RNA". Lineage: Eukaryota; Viridiplantae; Streptophyta; Magnoliopsida; Poales; Poaceae. The record is from RNAcentral.